ACCAAAAACAAAGAUUCAACCAACUAAACGUUUGUCAACUCUGCGUCCUCUCACCGUCCUCUGCUGUCCUUCCCUGCUGCGCGUUGCUCCACGGGCUCCAGGGACUCUCUGGGCCCCGGUAACUAUGACGGAGUCUGACGGUGUACGAAGUGCCAGGUCUGAGGAGACAAACUGGGAAGCUGUAGUCUCUCACUGUCACAUUUGUGACCUGGAUAUCGAGCUGAACAGGGAAGAGAAAGAGGAAAGGUGUAGUGUGUUGCCGAGGCGUCUCCAGCCUCCCAGCGGCAGGUGACGUUAGCCUGAUUCAGAAACACGCAGCCAAGCAGCCGCGGAGGUCGAGGAAGGGCCUUGGAGGUCGUUACGGACGAGGCUGGAUGCAGGACUAGAGAUGGAGAGAGGCCGUAGUUAACAGCAGGAAAGGGCAGAUUGUGCUCAGUGAAUCUGGAGGCUGAGCUUUUGUUUUGUUGUGUGGUUUUUUUAAACGUCAGGUUAAAGACAGAGGGGAUUGAGGCUGAAUUUAUCCUCUGAAUGCAGUGGGGAAGCAGAGGUUUGAACAGAUGUACGAACGCAUGCAAGAGACAGGUAGUAGAUUACAGAAAAGAGUAGAAGAGGUACUUUGGACAAUUAGCGGGAAAGAAACAAGUAGAACUAGUAUCCUGCCUGAAAAACCCAAUAAAACAUUGACACCUGAAAACAAC
Paralichthys olivaceus (Japanese flounder) is the source of this 698-nucleotide non-coding RNA. NCBI's taxonomy places the organism in Eukaryota, Metazoa, Chordata, Actinopteri, Pleuronectiformes, Paralichthyidae. The record is from RefSeq and is a predicted model, not a curated record.